This 253-nucleotide ribosomal RNA is filed under the name uncultured bacterium. Its description in RNAcentral is "partial 16S ribosomal RNA". It matches the Rfam family "Bacterial small subunit ribosomal RNA", at positions 524 to 776 of the family's 1533-position model. The record is from RNAcentral.
UACGGGGGGAGCAAGCGUUGUUCGGAUUUACUGGGCGUAAAGGGCGCGUAGGCGGCAGCGCAAGUCACUUGUGAAAUCUCCGGGCUUAACUCGGAGCGGCCAAGUGAUACUGCGCGGCUAGAGUGCGGAAGGGGCAACUGGAAUUCUCGGUGUAGCGGUGAAAUGCGUAGAUAUCGAGAGGAACACCUGCGGCGAAGGCGGGUUGCUGGGCCGACACUGACGCUGAGGCGCGAAAGCCAGGGGAGCGAACGGG